RNAcentral lists this long non-coding RNA (327 nucleotides) under Ricinus communis (castor bean). Its description in RNAcentral is "long non-coding RNA (RCOM_LNC001677)". The record is from RNAcentral. Lineage: Eukaryota; Viridiplantae; Streptophyta; Magnoliopsida; Malpighiales; Euphorbiaceae.
UAGCAAUGACGAUGCAACAGAUCAGUGAUGGAGAUUAGCGAAGGACAAUAUUUUUUGCUAAUUCCAUCGCUAUAUUUGGCACCACUGUAUAGUGGGACAGCUAACGAUGGAAUUGGGGACCAAUAACGAUAAAAAUGUUGAUCCGUCGCUACUCAAGCGGGGUUAUGGUUUUGAGCUCCAUUUAGCUAUGAAUUUAUAUUCGUUGCUCAUCUAAAUUCGUUGCUCAUCUGUGACUAAUUAAAUGCAUCAUUUAACUUAUUCCUAGUUUAGUGACAGAUUAGUCCGUCGCUAAUCCAUCGCUAAAUUGGAAAUAACACUAUGAUGCAG